Long non-coding RNA from Homo sapiens (human), 881 nucleotides. Ensembl annotates it as LAMTOR5 and SLC16A4 antisense RNA 1. Its record names the gene LAMTOR5-AS1. Lineage: Eukaryota; Metazoa; Chordata; Mammalia; Primates; Hominidae. The record is from Ensembl.
UAAGUUUUGUUAAAUUUGAGUAAGAAGACCUGUUUGUUUCCUCAAGUUGCUUAUAAUCUAGGUGAGGACACAUCUGAGAGAAUAACUAAUAGUUCAGUGAAGUUAAAAACAACAACAACAACAACAAAAACACAAAACCCUGAGGCUCAGAAGAUAAAUAUUUGCUGAAGAUCACUGUGCUUAUUAGAUGGGUGUUACUGAUUCUUACCUCAGAGAAGAGAAUGUCAUGGAGACAAAAUGACCUGCUUAGAGUUCUGCACCCCCCAGCAUGGAGAGCAGAGCGCAAAGAUUUCUUCCGGACUCCCACAUUCCCCUUGGAAUCCAAGAACUGGUCUACUGUCACAACACUUUAGUACCCUCUUCUCCCAAGGAGGCAGCAGAAACUGGGGUAAUCACAACGGUCAACAGCAGCAAAGGCAGCACUUUCUGAUUUACUUGACUGCUAUGGAUGCCACCUCUCUCCACGCCUCAGUUUAAUAUCUGUAAGUUUGGGCAGUACUGCUGUCAGUGAAUCAGCUUUAUCUGUGCAGUGGGCAAGAAGGACCCACUGGGUGACUACAAUAUGGCACUUUGGUAUGUUGGUUAUUUUAAGUUAGAGGCCUUUGAUGCUGGAAGAAGCUUUACUCUGAUAUCUCCUUAUCUACCACAAGACUGGAUCUGCCAAAGAGAACACAAUUGCGUUCCAUUCCCUUCCUGAAAUCUCAUUAUCUAUGGCAGAAAAGAAGACUGGGGAAUGUAAUACACAGUAUUACACAGUAAUGUAACAUACUACACAGUAUUUACACAAAACAUGUAACACAGAAUGUACUACACAGUAUUUUCACAAAACAAUAUCUGUCUCUCCAACUCAUUCAAAUUCUAAAGAGUCAUUUACACGUCAA